This 497-nucleotide ribosomal RNA is filed under the name uncultured bacterium. RNAcentral describes it as "partial 16S ribosomal RNA". It matches the Rfam family "Bacterial small subunit ribosomal RNA", at positions 28 to 507 of the family's 1533-position model. The record is from RNAcentral.
GAUGAACGCUGGCGGCGUGCCUAAUACAUGCAAGUCGAGCGAACGGACGAGAAGCUUGCUUCUCUGAUGUUAGCGGCGGACGGGUGAGUAACACGUGGAUAACCUACCUAUAAGACUGGGAUAACUUCGGGAAACCGGAGCUAAUACCGGAUAAUAUUUUGAACCGCAUGGUUCAAAAGUAAAAGACGGUCUUGCUGUCACUUAUAGAUGGAUCCGCGCUGCAUUAGCUAGUUGGUAAGGUAACGGCUUACCAAGGCAACGAUGCAUAGCCGACCUGAGAGGGUGAUCGGCCACACUGGAACUGAGACACGGUCCAGACUCCUACGGGAGGCAGCAGUAGGGAAUCUUCCGCAAUGGGCGAAAGCCUGACGGAGCAACGCCGCGUGAGUGAUGAAGGUCUUCGGAUCGUAAAACUCUGUUAUUAGGGAAGAACACAUGUGUAAGUAACUGUGCACAUCUUGACGGUACCUAAUCAGAAAGCCACGGCUAACUACGUG